UUGAAAGGGAAACCAUUGAAGUCCGUCCUACCGACCAGAAAUCCACUUAUCCUGUGCCAACUUGUGGGCCUGCCUGAGUUUCCGCCUCCCUGUUUGCCUGUUUGUGCCUUUUGGGUGUACUUUUUCGUAUGGUAGGCCCACCUCCGUUUCCAUUAUCAUAAAAUGACCGGCGGAAUGUAGCUUCGAUUUCGGUUGAAGUGUUAUAGCCUCUGGUAGAUGUGGUGAUUGAGACUGAGGAUUGCAACGAAUACCCUUUGGGCUAUCCGUCUGGCCUCUGAAAGUUGCUCAGGUGCCGAAAGCGUGCUUACGGUUAUCUAAGAUAACGUUCAACAGGUUAGAACGUGAUUACAUUCGUUAAGGAUGUUGACGUA
Molecule: ribosomal RNA, 371 nt
Filed under: uncultured fungus
Lineage: Eukaryota; Fungi
Description: LSU rRNA
Source: RNAcentral